GUCUAAGUAUAAGCAAUUAUACCGUGAAACUGCGAAUGGCUCAUUAAAUCAGUUAUCGUUUAUUUGAUAGUACCUUACUACUUGGAUAACCGUGGUAAUUCUAGAGCUAAUACAUGCUAAAAACCCCAACUUCGGGAGGGGUGUAUUUAUUAGAUAAAAAACCAAUGCCCUUCGGGGCUCCUUGGUGAUUCAUGAUAACUUCUCAGAUCGCAUAGCCUUGAGCUGGCGACGGUUCAUUCAAAUUUCUGCCCUAUCAACUUUCGAUGGUAAGGUAGUGGCUUACCAUGGUUGCAACGGGUAACGGGGAAUUAGGGUUCGAUUCCGGAGAGGGAGCCUGAGAAACGGCUACCACAUCCAAGGAAGGCAGCAGGCGCGCAAAUUACCCAAUUCCGAUACGGAGAGGUAGUGACAAUAAAUACUGAUACAGGGCUCUUUUGGGUCUUGUAAUUGGAAUGAGUACAAUUUAAACCUCUUAACGAGGAACAAUUGGAGGGCAAGUCUGGUGCCAGCAGCCGCGGUAAUUCCAGCUCCAAUAGCGUAUAUUAAAGUUGUUGCAGUUAAAAAGCUCGUAGUUGAACCUUUGGCCUGGCUGGCAGGUCCGCCUCACCGCGUGCACUUGUCCGGCCGGGCCUUUUCUUCUGGAGAACCGCAUGCCCUUCACUGGGUGUGUUGGGGACCAGGACUUUUACUUUGAAAAAAUUAGAGUGUUCAAAGCAGGCCUUUGCUCGAAUACGUUAGCAUGGAAUAAUAGAAUAGGACGUGCGGUCCUAUUUUGUUGGUUUCUAGGACCGCCGUAAUGAUUAAUAGGGACAGUCGGGGGCAUCAGUAUUCAAUUGUCAGAGGUGAAAUUCUUGGAUUUAUUGAAGACUAACUACUGCGAAAGCAUUUGCCAAGGAUGUUUUCAUUAAUCAGUGAACGAAAGUUAGGGGAUCGAAGACGAUCAGAUACCGUCGUAGUCUUAACCAUAAACUAUGCCGACUAGGGAUCGGGCGGUGUUUCUAAUGUGACCCGCUCGGCACCUUACGAGAAAUCAAAGUGUUUGGGUUCUGGGGGG
Molecule: ribosomal RNA, 1054 nt
Filed under: Montagnula chromolaenicola
Lineage: Eukaryota; Fungi; Ascomycota; Dothideomycetes; Pleosporales; Didymosphaeriaceae
Description: SSU rRNA
Rfam family: Eukaryotic small subunit ribosomal RNA
Source: RNAcentral